Molecule: long non-coding RNA, 498 nt
Organism: Oncorhynchus tshawytscha (Chinook salmon)
Lineage: Eukaryota; Metazoa; Chordata; Actinopteri; Salmoniformes; Salmonidae
Source: Ensembl
CCCAGAUGAAAGGUCAAACACACCCCAGAUGAAAGGUCAAACACACCCCAGAUGAAAGGUCAAGCACACCCCAGAUGAAAGGUCAAGCACACCCCAGAUGAAAGGUCAAGCACACCCCAGAUGAAAGGUCAAGCACACCCCAGAUGAAAGGUCAAGCACACCCCAGAUGAAAAGUCAAGCACACCCCAGAUGAAAGGUCAAGCACACCCCAGAUGAAAGGUCAAGCACACCCCAGAUGAAAUGUCAAGCACACCCCAGAUGAAAGGUGAAACACCCCAGAUGAAAGGUCAAACACACCCCAGAUGAAAGGUCAAACACCCCAGAUGAAAGGUCAAACACACCCCAGAUGAAAGGUCAAACACACCCCAGAUGAAAGGUCAAGCACACCCCAGAUGAAAGGUCAAACACACCACAGAUGAAAGGUCAAGCACACCCCAGAUGUAUCUCCAUAAAUGUACGUUUCCUAUGCCCAUGUAGGCUGUAAGGUUUGCUUCUAAC